CCUACGGGUGGCAGCAGUGGGGAAUAUUGCACAAUGGGGGAAACCCUGAAGCAGCGAAGUCGCGUGAGUGAAGAAGUAUUUCGGUAUGUAAAGCUUUAUCAGCAGGGAAGAAGAAAGACGGAACCUUACCAAGAAGCACCGGCUACCUACGUGCCAGCCGCCGCGGUAAUACGUAGGGGGCAAGCGUUAUCCGGAUUUACGGGGUGUAAAGGGAGCGUAGACGGGUGGUCAAGUCUGAAGUGAAAGCCCAGGGCUCAACCGUGGGACUGCUUUGGAAACUGUGGAGCUAGAGUGCUGGAGAGGUAAGUGGAAUUCCUAGUGUAGCGGUGAAAUGCGUAGAUAUCAGGAGGAACACCAGUGGCGAAGGCGGCUUACUAGACAGUAACUGACGUUGAGGCUCGAAAGCGUGGGGAGCAAACAGGAUUAGAUACCCCUGUAGUC
RNAcentral lists this ribosomal RNA (441 nucleotides) under uncultured bacterium. RNAcentral describes it as "partial 16S ribosomal RNA". It matches the Rfam family "Bacterial small subunit ribosomal RNA", at positions 338 to 795 of the family's 1533-position model. The record is from RNAcentral.